RNAcentral lists this long non-coding RNA (1234 nucleotides) under Heterocephalus glaber (naked mole-rat). RNAcentral describes it as "lncRNA (ENSHGLG00100034713.1)". The record is from RNAcentral. Lineage: Eukaryota; Metazoa; Chordata; Mammalia; Rodentia; Bathyergidae.
GGACAAGAGUGCCAUCAGCCCCGGAAGCAGCAGCAUCCGCCCGCAGGGAAGAACAAGGAACAUGCUUACCCUUCAUAAGUACAGUGCGGCUUGGAGGGAGAUUCAGAGAGAGGAAACGGGAGCUGCUGGCAUGCCCCUCGGGAGCGGAGCCAGGAGCCCAGCUCCUGGGCCCAAGGCCACAUCACUGCAGAUGAGCCAAUGGCUGUGCCUGAGUCUGCCAGCACCCACGGCGGGGGUCCACGCUGGCCACCCUCCGAGCAGUGCCUGGGCACAUGCCUUGAAAACAUGGUCUAAGGAAAGAUGGAGACAACGGGUCCAGGGACGGGCACAAAGCCAAGCUCAAGGUGGAGAGCAAUAGAAGAAAAAGAAGAAGCUGCACCAAAACUUAGUUUCCUGUGGAUAAUAAUUACAUGUAUGGUUUAUAUAGUGUUCACUGUGUCCUAGGAGCUACUCCAAACACUUUUUGAUGUAUGUAUUUUAUUUAAUUCUCAUAAAAACCUGACAAGUUAAGUUUGAUUAUUGUACUGAUUUUACAGAUGGGAAACUGAGGCACAGAAAUGAUAGGAAAUUGUGCAGCAGAAUUCAAACCCAGGCAGUCUGGCUGCAGAGCUGGCAUCUUAACCAGGAUGCUACACCAUCAGGCUGACUUCUGCACUGUCAUACUCAUGGGGCACCCAGACCAUCAGUUGGAAGGACUGACUUAGCCACUAUGUGACCACAAAUUAACUUUGAGAUGUUUUUCAUGCAAUCAACCUGUGUACACAUUGUGCACUCAGGGAUUAAGGCACAUGGUCCUAUAAAUAAAAUGAAAUAAAAUAUAGUUGGCACCUUCAGGCAAGCAAAGUAUUUUCAGUUUCCUGUGUUAAUUUUUGCUUUGAGGCUGGUAACCUUGACCAGUAAACUUGUUGAGGUCUUCCAGCUCUGAGAGGCACACACGCUCCAUAGCUGAGCGGAGGCAGAGUUUCCGCCCAUCAGGCAAUUACAGUCAAGGAGGAGUUGGUGCAGCACUUGCCAUAUGCCCCUGUCUGUCAUGAAAACACAAAGAUCUCAGCAGUUCUCCCCCCAGUUGGCAAACUGUAAAACUGGAAGGUCAGAUGCCUGAGAUGUAGGCUAAACCCUAACCACCAAAUACCCAAGGUUCUGAAAGUCUUCUUCCAGAGUGUUGCCCCUCAGUCCUAGCCAGAGAAGCAAACAGAAAGUGGUUUUAAAACUUAAUUUGUAUUUUGGGCCGGGG